RNAcentral lists this ribosomal RNA (510 nucleotides) under uncultured bacterium. RNAcentral's name for it is "partial 16S ribosomal RNA". It matches the Rfam family "Bacterial small subunit ribosomal RNA", at positions 28 to 507 of the family's 1533-position model. The record is from RNAcentral.
GACGAACGCUGGCGGCGUGCCUAACACAUGCAAGUCGAACGAAGAGCGAUGGAAGCUUUCUUCUAUCAAUCUUAGUGGCGAACGGGUGAGUAACGCGUAAUCAACCUUCCCUUCAGAGGGGGACAACAGUUGGAAACGACUGCUAAUACCCCAUACGAUCUAAUCUCGGCAUCGAGGGUAGAUGAAAGGUGGCCUCUACAUGUAAGCUAUCACUGAAGGAGGGGAUUGCGUCUGAUUAGCUAGUUGGAGGGGUAACGGCCCACCAAGGCGAUGAUCAGUAGCCGGUCUGAGAGGAUGAACGGCCACAUUGGGACUGAGACACGGCCCAGACUCCUACGGGAGGCAGCAGUGGGGAAUCUUCCGCAAUGGACGAAAGUCUGACGGAGCAACGCCGCGUGAGUGAUGACGGCCUUCGGGUUGUAAAGCUCUGUUAAUCGGGACGAAAGGCCUUCUUGCGAACAGUUAGAAGGAUUGACGGUACCGGAAUAGAAAGCCACGGCUAACUACGUG